AAACUUGAGAGUUUGAUCCUGGCUCAGAACGAACGCUGGCGGCAGGCCUAACACAUGCAAGUCGAACGCUGUAGCAAUACAGAGUGGCAGACGGGUGAGUAACGCGUGGGAACGUACCCUUCGGUCUGGAAUAACCCAGGGAAACUUGGGCUAAUACCGGAUACGUGCGAGAGCAGAAAGAUUUAUCGCCGAAGGAUCGGCCCGCGUCCGAUUAGCUAGUUGGUGAGGUAAAGGCUCACCAAGGCGACGAUCGGUAGCUGGUCUGAGAGGAUGAUCAGCCACACUGGGACUGAGACACGGCCCAGACUCCUACGGGAGGCAGCAGUGGGGAAUAUUGGACAAUGGGCGAAAGCCUGAUCCAGCCAUGCCGCGUGAGUGAUGAAGGCCCUAGGGUUGUAAAGCUCUUUCGCCAGGGACGAUAAUGACGGUACCUGGAUAAGAAGCCC
RNAcentral lists this ribosomal RNA (446 nucleotides) under Methylocystis sp. RNAcentral describes it as "bacterial SSU rRNA". It matches the Rfam family "Bacterial small subunit ribosomal RNA", at positions 1 to 493 of the family's 1533-position model. The record is from RNAcentral. Lineage: Bacteria; Pseudomonadati; Pseudomonadota; Alphaproteobacteria; Hyphomicrobiales; Methylocystaceae.